RNAcentral lists this transfer RNA (48 nucleotides) under Scleromystax barbatus (banded corydoras). RNAcentral's name for it is "partial tRNA-Ser". The record is from RNAcentral. Lineage: Eukaryota; Metazoa; Chordata; Actinopteri; Siluriformes; Callichthyidae.
GAGAGGCUUAAAGCAGUAAGGACUGCUAAUCCCUCCCCCCAUGGUUAA